Molecule: ribosomal RNA, 451 nt
Filed under: uncultured bacterium
Lineage: Bacteria
Description: partial 16S ribosomal RNA
Rfam family: Bacterial small subunit ribosomal RNA
Source: RNAcentral
AACGAACGCUGGCGGCAGGCCUAACACAUGCAAGUCGAACGCUCGUAGCAGUACGGGAGUGGCGCACGGGUGAGUAACGCGUGGGAACGUGCCCUUUAGUUUGGGAUAACAGCUGGAAACGGCUGCUAAUACCAAAUACGCCCUUCGGGGGAAAGAUUUAUCGCUAAAGGAUCGGCCCGCGUAAGAUUAGGUAGUUGGUGGGGUAAUGGCCUACCAAGCCUACGAUCUUUAGCUGGUCUGAGAGGAUGAUCAGCCACACUGGAACUGAGACACGGUCCAGACUCCUACGGGAGGCAGCAGUGGGGAAUAUUGGACAAUGGGGGAAACCCUGAUCCAGCCAUGCCGCGUGAACGAUGAAGGCCUUAGGGUUGUAAAGUCCUUUUGUCAGGGAAGAUGAUGACGGUACCUGACGAAUAAGCACCGGCUAACUUCGUGCCAGCCGCCGCGGUAA